UGAGGAAUAUUGGGCAAUGGAGGGAACUCUGACCCAGCCAUGCCGCGUGAGUGAAGAAGGUUUUCGAAUUGUAAAGCUCUUUCGGAUGUGAAGAUGAUGACGGUAGCAUCUAAAGAAGCCCGGCAACUUCGUGCCAGCAGCCGCGGUAAUACGAAGGGCAGCGUGUUCGAUACUGGCGUAAAGGGUGUGUAGGUGGACGUGUAAGAUAGCGGUGAAAUACCGGGGCUCAACCUCGGAAUUGCCAUUAUAACUAUGCGUCUAGAAUUAUAGAGAGGAUAGCGGAAUACCCAGUGUAGAGGUGAAAUUCGUAGAUAUUGGGUAGAACACCAGUGGCGAAGGCGGCUAUCUGGCUAUAUAUUGACACUGAGGCACGAAAGCAUGGGGAUCAAACAGGAUUAGAUACC
RNAcentral lists this ribosomal RNA (404 nucleotides) under uncultured bacterium. RNAcentral's name for it is "bacterial SSU rRNA". It matches the Rfam family "Bacterial small subunit ribosomal RNA", at positions 355 to 786 of the family's 1533-position model. The record is from RNAcentral.